RNAcentral lists this ribosomal RNA (497 nucleotides) under uncultured bacterium. RNAcentral's name for it is "partial 16S ribosomal RNA". It matches the Rfam family "Bacterial small subunit ribosomal RNA", at positions 28 to 507 of the family's 1533-position model. The record is from RNAcentral.
GAUGAACGCUGGCGGCGUGCCUAAUACAUGCAAGUCGAGCGAACGGACGAGAAGCUUGCUUCUCUGAUGUUAGCGGCGGACGGGUGAGUAACACGUAGAUAACCUACCUAUAAGACUGGGAUAACUUCGGGAAACCGUAGCUAAUACCGGAUAAUAUUUUGAACCGCAUGGUUCAAAAGUGAAAGACGGUCUUGCUGUCACUUAUAGAUGGAUCCGCGCUGCAUUAGCUAGUUGGUAAGGUAACGGCUUACCAAGGCAACGAUGCAUAGCCGACCUGAGAGGGUGAUCGGCCACACUGGAACUGAGACACGGUCCAGACUCCUACGGGAGGCAGCAGUAGGGAAUCUUCCGCAAUGGGCGAAAGCCUGACGGAGCAACGCCGCGUGAGUGAUGAAGGUCUUCGGAUCGUAAAACUCUGUUAUUAGGGAAGAACAUAUGUGUAAGUAACUGUGCACAUCUUGACGGUACCUAAUCAGAAAGCCACGGCUAACUACGUG